UUCGUAGGCGGUUUAUUAAGUCUGAAGUUAAAUUCUGGGGCUCAACCCCAGCUUGCUUUGGAUACUGAUAGACUAGAGUUAUAGAGAGAUUAGCGGAACUCCAUGUGAAGCGGUGGAAUGCGUAGAUAUAUGGAAGAACACCAAUGGCGAAGGCAGCUAAUUAGCUAUAUACUGACGCUCAGGAACGAGAGCGUGGGGAGCAAACA
RNAcentral lists this ribosomal RNA (206 nucleotides) under uncultured Mycoplasma sp. RNAcentral describes it as "partial 16S ribosomal RNA". It matches the Rfam family "Bacterial small subunit ribosomal RNA", at positions 568 to 774 of the family's 1533-position model. The record is from RNAcentral. Lineage: Bacteria; Bacillati; Mycoplasmatota; Mollicutes; Mycoplasmatales; Mycoplasmataceae.